Molecule: ribosomal RNA, 421 nt
Filed under: uncultured bacterium
Lineage: Bacteria
Description: bacterial SSU rRNA
Rfam family: Bacterial small subunit ribosomal RNA
Source: RNAcentral
ACUCCUACGGGAGGCAGCAGUAGGGAAUAUUGGUCAAUGGGUGAGAGCCUGAACCAGCCAUGCCGCGUGCAGGAAGACGGCCUUCUGGGUUGUAAACUGCUUUUACCAGGGAUGAAAACGACUCUGCGGAGUUAAUUGAAGGUACCUGGAGAAUAAGCACCGGCUAACUACGUGCCAGCAGCCGCGGUAAUACGUAGGGUGCAAGCGUUGUCCGGAUUUAUUGGGUUUAAAGGUGCGUAGGCGGGCUAUUAAGUCAGUGGUGAAAUCCAGCAGCUUAACUGUUGAUGUGCCAUUGAUACUGGUAGUCUUGAGUACAGAUGAGGUAGGCGGAAUUGACAGUGUAGCGGUGAAAUGCAUAGAUAUUGUCAAGAACUCCGAUAGCGAAGGCAGCUUACUGGGCUGUAACUGACGCUGAUGCACG